CACGCCGCGUGAGUGAUGAAGGUUUUCGGAUCGUAAAGCUCUGUUGUUAGGGAAGAACAAGUACCGUUCGAAUAGGGCGGUACCUUGACGGUACCUAACCAGAAAGCCACGGCUAACUACGUGCCAGCAGCCGCGGUAAUACGUAGGUGGCAAGCGUUGUCCGGAAUUAUUGGGCGUAAAGGGCUCGCAGGCGGUUUCUUAAGUCUGAUGUGAAAGCCCCCGGCUCAACCGGGGAGGGUCAUUGGAAACUGGGGAACUUGAGUGCAGAAGAGGAGAGUGGAAUUCCACGUGUAGCGGUGAAAUGCGUAGAGAUGUGGAGGAACACCAGUGGCGAAGGCGACUCUCUGGUCUGUAACUGACGCUGAGGAGCGAAAGCGUGGGGAGCGAACAGGAUUAGAUACCCUGGUAGUCCACGCCGUAAACGAUGAGUGCUAAGUGUUAGGGGGUUUCCGCCCCUUAGUGCUGCAGCUAACGCAUUAAGCACUCCC
RNAcentral lists this ribosomal RNA (488 nucleotides) under Bacillus subtilis. Its description in RNAcentral is "bacterial SSU rRNA". It matches the Rfam family "Bacterial small subunit ribosomal RNA", at positions 393 to 871 of the family's 1533-position model. Lineage: Bacteria; Bacillati; Bacillota; Bacilli; Caryophanales; Bacillaceae. The record is from RNAcentral.